RNAcentral lists this long non-coding RNA (205 nucleotides) under Carica papaya (papaya). RNAcentral describes it as "long non-coding RNA (CPAP_LNC002558)". The record is from RNAcentral. Lineage: Eukaryota; Viridiplantae; Streptophyta; Magnoliopsida; Brassicales; Caricaceae.
UGGUUAACUUUUUAUAUGUGCAAUUACUUAGAUUAUAAAUUAAAAAAAAAAGAAUGCAUUUGAAUCAAUCUUAUCAAAAGAGUACUAUAUUUGAUGAUGGCUGUGCAUGUGUGUUAAAUGAAAGUGUGAAUGAAUAUAUUUAGUUUUAAUAAUUGAAUGUUAUUUGGCUGGAAAAAAUUAUGAGAUGUGUGUUAUUUAACCUCAU